This 436-nucleotide long non-coding RNA is filed under the name Daucus carota (carrot). Its description in RNAcentral is "long non-coding RNA (DCAR_LNC002597)". Lineage: Eukaryota; Viridiplantae; Streptophyta; Magnoliopsida; Apiales; Apiaceae. The record is from RNAcentral.
UUAUCUAGUGUAAUAACACAUCAUUCUAGGAAAAUUAUUAGCCGCUGGCAAAUAGUUUUGAUAUACAUGAUAAAUGAUAAUGUGUAUGGUUUUGGUGUAUAUAUUUGUCUUGUGAAAGUACUCUGCUCUAACAUUUACUUGCCCAUUUGCUUAAAACAGAGUCUUCUCUUUAUCAGCUGAGCAUAAUGAAUAUCUUCUAUAUCUAUCUUUUCCCUUGAGAGGCCCUUUAACUAGAGAAGAGUGGAUAAUGUCAUCUCCUUUUGAAGCUUUUCGAAACUUGUGGACAUCAUUAUGCCAAAACAUGACAAAAACUUAUUUUAUAACUCUUGAUUAUAUAACUAGUUGCAUACAACUAUACAAGUAUGAAGGACCAAUAAAAUAAAUCGAUAAUUAAUGUAGGAUGAAAAAGAUGUCCUUACAAGAGACUACAAGACGC